RNAcentral lists this transfer RNA (72 nucleotides) under Phoeniculus purpureus (green woodhoopoe). RNAcentral's name for it is "tRNA-Phe". The record is from RNAcentral. Lineage: Eukaryota; Metazoa; Chordata; Aves; Bucerotiformes; Phoeniculidae.
GUCCCCGUAGCUUACGCUCACCAAAGCAUGGCACUGAAGACGCCAAGACGGUCCAAAAUGGCCCCGGGCACA